AUACUUACUUGGCAGGGAAGAUACCAUGAUCACAAAGGUGGUUUUCCCAGGGCAAGGCUUAUCCAUUGCAAUCCAGAUGUGCUGACCCCUGUGAUUUCCCCAAAUGCGGGGAAACUCAACUGCAUAAUUUGUGGUAGUGGGGGACUGCGUUCGCGCUCUUCCCUG
Molecule: small nuclear RNA, 165 nt
Organism: Peromyscus leucopus (white-footed mouse)
Lineage: Eukaryota; Metazoa; Chordata; Mammalia; Rodentia; Cricetidae
Product: U1 spliceosomal RNA
Exons: 1
Source: RefSeq, a predicted model, not a curated record